This 377-nucleotide ribosomal RNA is filed under the name uncultured eukaryote. RNAcentral describes it as "SSU rRNA". It matches the Rfam family "Eukaryotic small subunit ribosomal RNA", at positions 567 to 990 of the family's 1831-position model. The record is from RNAcentral.
CCAGCAGCUGCGUAAUUCCAGCUCCAAUAGCGUAUAUUAAAGUUGUUGCAGUUAAAACGCUCGUAGUCUGAGUUGGGGUGAGUGGGUGGGGGUGUCGUGAGACAUUCCUAUUAGCACACUUGUUCUGACAGCAAUGUCGGGGUUACUUUGAGGAAAUUAGGGUGUUCAAGGCAGGCGUGUGCUUGGAUAUCGCAGCAUGGAAUAACGGAGUAGGAUUCGCUUCUUAUUUUGUUGGUUUGGGGGAGUGAGUAAUGAUUAGUAGGGGCAGUUGGGGGCAUUGGUAUUUGGUAGUCAGAGGUGAAAUUCUUGGAUUUACCAAAGACUAACUGGUGCGAAAGCGUUUGCCAAGGAUGUUUUCAUUAAUCAAGAACGAAAGU